UACGUGGGGAGCAAGCGUUGUCCGGAAUUACUGGGCGUAAAGGGCAUCUAGGCGGUCCGUUAAGUCGAAUGUGAAAUGCUCGGGCUUAACCCGAGAAAGCCGUUUGAUACUGGCGGACUUGAGUACCGGAGAGGGCAACGGAACUCCUGGUGUAGCGGUGAAAUGCGUAGAUAUCAGGAGGAACACCCGUGGCGAAGGCGGUUGCCUGGACGGUAACUGACGCUGAAGUGCGAAAGCUAGGGUAGCGAAC
RNAcentral lists this ribosomal RNA (250 nucleotides) under uncultured bacterium. Its description in RNAcentral is "partial 16S ribosomal RNA". It matches the Rfam family "Bacterial small subunit ribosomal RNA", at positions 524 to 773 of the family's 1533-position model. The record is from RNAcentral.